GAGUUUGAUUAUGGCUCAGGAUAAACGCUGGCGGCGUGCAUGAGACAUGCAAGUCGAACGGACGAUCAGGGCUUGCUCUGAUCGUUAGUGGCGGACGGCUGAGUAACGCGUAGGUGACCUGCCCCGAAGUGGGGAAUAACUGCCCGAAAGGGUGGCUAAUACCGCAUGUGGUGAUGCCUUCACUGGCAUCAGUAAAGCCGCAAGGCGCUUCGGGAGGGGCCUGCGUCCGAUUAGCUCGUUGGUGGGGUAACGGCUCACCAAGGCGACGAUCGGUAGGUGGUCUGAGAGGACGAUCACCCAGACUGGGACUGAGACACGGCCCAGACUCCUACGGGAGGCAGCAGUUAGGAAUUUUGGGCAAUGGGCGAAAGCCUGACCCAGCAACGCCGCGUGGGUGAAGAAGGCCUUCGGGUCGUAAAGCCCUUUUCCAGGGGAAGAUAAUGACGGUACCCUGGGAAUCAGCCCCGGCUAACUACGUGCCAGCAGCCGCGGUAAUACGUAGGGGGCAAGCGUUGUCCGGAUUUAUUGGGCGUAAAGCGCUCGCAGGUGGUUCAUAGCGUCGUGCGUGAAAGACCCCGGCUCAACUGGGGAGGGUCGUGCGAAACGGGUGAACUAGAGGCCAGUAGGGGGAUGCGGAAUUCCGGGUGUAGUGGUGGAAUGCGUAGAGAUCCGGAGGAACACCAGCGGCGAAGGCGGCAUCCUGGACUGGUCCUGACACUCAGGAGCGAAAGCGUGGGGAGCGAUCCGGAUUAGAUACCCGGGUAGUCCACGCUGUAAACGAUGAGUACUAGGUGUUGGGGGUAUCGACCCCCUCAGUGCCGAAGCUAACGCGAUAAGUACUCCGCCUGGGGACUACGGCCGCAAGGCUAAAACUCAAAUGAAUUGACGGGG
RNAcentral lists this ribosomal RNA (891 nucleotides) under uncultured Chloroflexota bacterium. RNAcentral describes it as "bacterial SSU rRNA". It matches the Rfam family "Bacterial small subunit ribosomal RNA", at positions 9 to 918 of the family's 1533-position model. Lineage: Bacteria; Bacillati; Chloroflexota. The record is from RNAcentral.